AGCAAAGAGAGAAAACCACCACCCAAGUUCUGUUUUUGUCAGUCUCGAUUUUCACUACCGUCUACGUAGAUAGGCUCAAAAUUAAAUCAAAGCUAGGGAAAACAAGUUAAAUUUACAAAACAUGUUAAAAAACAGAUGAACAAAAAUUUGCAAAUUAAAUACAUUUUGCAUGUAAUGUAAGAAGUAUUAGUGCUACGUUACUAUAAUAGACGUGCAGGGCAGGUAGCUUACAUACAUAUGCACGUACGAAUACAGGAUUGCAGGUGUGUGGUGUACGGGAAGCUCGUGCAAGGUCACUCAAAUUGAAGCUGUGCAACGCUCUAAUAGGUCAAGUGUGACGUGUUUAGGGCUAUCACAAUUACAAAAUAAUUAAAAAGCCUGUCAUGUCAUGGGAGAGCAUUGCGUCCAAGGAUCUGCUUAGCAUUCCUCAAAGCCAAAAUCUAUCUGCAACUCACUUACUAGCGUCACCUGAUGGAUCGCGAUACUUGUUAGGAAACUCAAAUGAUUUAUGUCAGUUAGAUGAGAGCUAUUCGAGAGUUGCGGGCUAUGGCUCAAGCCCUGAUGCAGGUUCGCGUUCUCUCUGGACUGGCCAAGGAUUAUUACGUUCUGGUUCUGUAAUCAGCUGUUUUUUGGCUUGCCAACGAAGCCUUCGACAGUACAUUGCAAAACGAAAGAUUGAGCGCGGUCUUCGGCUUUAUGAGCAAAACAAUCAAACAGCUGCAGUACGCACCUGGCGUAGUGCAUUAAAAGGCACGUGUCGUCGCGAGGAUUGCUUCCAGCUAUUGGGUUAUUUGUAUCAGGCACAUAUGGAUUGGGGAAAGUUUCGUGAAGCUAUUGAGUUCGGUCAUCAACAGCUUGGCAUAUCAGAGGAACUCGACUCUCCAAACAUGCGUGCAGAGACGUAUCUAAACCUCAGUCGAGCACAUGCUAGUCUAGGUGGUCUCGAGCGAGCUUUGAGUUACGCUCGUCACUCGCUCUAUAACGAGUGCGGAACAAAAUGCCGCAGUGGACUGGUCCAUUUGACAGUGGCACGAGUUUACCUUGAAAUGGGCGGAUUUUCUAGAGCAUUGGAGGGCCUGCAGGGGGCUCAUAAGAUAGCUAUAGCCAUUGGCGAUCCUUCGUUGGAGUUGCAAGUAUACGUGGCACUCUCCGAACUUUUCGGCCGACUACAGGAUAAUAAUAAAAGUGCCACCUACGCAUCCAAAGCAUACGAUUUGUCGCGAUCCCUACAACUGGGGGACCUGAAUUCCUGUCAUCAUAGAGCCGCUUUGCUGCGCAUGGCAGCCUCCUUGCGAAAGCAGGGCGAGCUGGGGGAUGCGCAGGACUACUGUAAGGAGGCAACUAAACUGUCGCUUAUUUCCGGAGAUCAGGCCACAUACACAAGAAGUGUCCGUGUUAUGGGGGAUAUAUACCGAAAGAAAAUGGAUAUUGAUGUUUGUACAAAAAAUGUGCAUGGCCUAUAUGCAACUCAAUUUUCCCCUCUGUCUUUUGUACUUUUUUAUUUUGGAGAUUAUCGCGAACUAUAGAAAAUGUAGUUUCACACACAAAUAUUCAAGCAUAAUUCAUAUUAUUAAUAAUUUUGUAUAAUUUAUAAAAUACAAGUAUUAGGUUAACGCAUAUGUAAAAUCCAUAGAGUUCAUGCACAUCGAAAUCUAAGAGCAGCUCAAGUUUAUUUGCUUGUAUCAACUUAAAGCCAAAAAAUCUUUAGUAGUCAUCAGAUUCGAUUCAAAUUUACGAAUAGUAAAACCAUUUGUACUUAUUCCGCUCGGAAAGCUCGGAAACAAUAACAACCUGAUUUUUCCUACGAGUAUACACGUUCACGGGCGUUCCGACAAUAUGAGCAAGCAAUGGGUACAUCAGCAAGUUUAGGGGAUCGCAUGGCUCAAAUGGAGGCGAUGGACGGGGCUGCCCGG
RNAcentral lists this unclassified non-coding RNA (1913 nucleotides) under Drosophila pseudoobscura pseudoobscura. Its description in RNAcentral is "GA15125". The record is from RNAcentral. Lineage: Eukaryota; Metazoa; Arthropoda; Insecta; Diptera; Drosophilidae.